AGAAAUUUAGGUUAAAUAGACCAAAGGCCUUCAAAGCCUUAAGCGGAGGUUAGACCCCUUCAAUUUCUG
This 69-nucleotide transfer RNA is filed under the name Nidirana okinavana (Kampira Falls frog). RNAcentral describes it as "transfer RNA-Trp". It matches the Rfam family "tRNA". Rfam says of the family: Transfer RNA (tRNA) molecules are approximately 80 nucleotides in length. Their secondary structure includes four short double-helical elements and three loops (D, anti-codon, and T loops). The record is from RNAcentral. Lineage: Eukaryota; Metazoa; Chordata; Amphibia; Anura; Ranidae.